ACACCGGCAACUCAAGUGGUAGCCGCUUUUAUUGGGCCUAAAGCGUCCGUAGCCGGUCUGAUAAGUCUCUGGUGAAAUCCCACAGCUUAACUGUGGGAAUUGCUGGAGAUACUAUCAUGACUCGAGGUCGGGAGAGGCUGGAGGUACUCCCCGGGUAGGGGUGAAAUCCUGUAAUCCUGGGAGGACCACCUGUGGCGAAGGCGUCCAGCUGGAACGAACCUGACGGUGAGGGACGAAAGCCAGGGGCGCGAACCGGAUUAGAUACCCGGGUAGUCCUGGCCGUAAACGAUGUGGACUUGGUGUUGGGAUGGCUUCGAGCUGCCCCAGUGCCGAAGGGAAGCUGUUAAGUCCACCGCCUGGGAAGUACGGCCGCAAGGCUGAAACUUAAAUGAAUUGGCGGGG
This 402-nucleotide ribosomal RNA is filed under the name uncultured bacterium. RNAcentral describes it as "partial 16S ribosomal RNA". It matches the Rfam family "Archaeal small subunit ribosomal RNA", at positions 473 to 873 of the family's 1478-position model. The record is from RNAcentral.